Molecule: long non-coding RNA, 5079 nt
Filed under: Triticum aestivum (bread wheat)
Lineage: Eukaryota; Viridiplantae; Streptophyta; Magnoliopsida; Poales; Poaceae
Description: long non-coding RNA (TAES_LNC008737)
Rfam family: Plant small nucleolar RNA R71 (bases 3662-3765)
Source: RNAcentral
AAGAAACAUAAUUAUGUGAUGAGAGAAAGAAGCUUCACAUCACCAACAUAUAUGUCAAAGGGACAAAGCUAGCACUGAUCACACAUAACAUGCACUAUAUCUUACAAGUACGAUACUGAACAAAUAUCAGGUUGCAAGAUCUUAUCAAAUCUGAAUAUUACAUGUACUACACGUCUCAAAUUUCAGAAAAUUCAGAGAUUAGAGGGAGAAAGAGAGAUAGCAGCAGCAAGAUUGAGGAGAGAGCAUCAACAAAGGGAGGUUGAGAGAGAGAUUCAGCAGAGGGUGUUGGAGAAGGAGAAGCAGCAGGGGGUGUAGCAAUAGAGAAGCAGCAAGGGGGCGCUGAGAGAAGAAGAGGCGCAAGGAGAGAGGUUGAGAGCAGCAGCAGCGGCAGGUAGAAGAAGUUGAGCGGAGGAGGAGCAGCAGUAGGGACGAGGGGAGGAGCAGCAGCGAAGGGGUUGAGAGAGAGAGAGAGACAGCAGGAGGUUGGAGUUCGGAGCAGCAGCAGCGUGGAGAGUUGAGAGAGCAGCAGCAGAGAAAUAGAAGAAGGAGCAGUAGCUUGGGCGCAAGAAGAGCAGCAGGGCGCAUAGGAAGAAGGAGCAGCAGCAGGUUGCAUGGAAGAAGGAGCAGCAGCAGGGGACGUUGAGAGAGAAGAGGAGCAAGAUCGGGGCAGCAAGGAGGAGAGAGGCGCUUGGUGCUGAUGGCGGCAGUGGCUGGAGAUGGUGGCGCUAGUGGAGUGGUGGAUGGAGGCUGCUGGUGGUGGGUAUGCUGGUGGAUGGAUGGGUGACGGAGGCGCACCACCACGUCGGCCUGGCCAUGGCGGCGGCCGGAGUUGGAUAAGGAGGGGUGAGGGAGAGAGAGAUGUGCCAGGCCCGAUUGGAUCCCUCCAGCGCCUAGGGAUUUUGUUCCCCUCCUCUCAUCUGCACUUUGUGAUUUGGCCCUCUUACUUCUCUUCUUUCUUCACAAGAAGAUCCUCCCACUUCUUCAGCUUGCCCCUGGUAACUUCUUUUCUUCUCUCUCGGGUCCUUGACUCCAUCACUUGAUCUUUUGUAGUAGAAGGAUUUUGUGCCUUGUCACACUUUUCUGCAAAAUAAACAAGUGACUAGUCAACAAUCCUUUUAUAUGAUUUUCAUUCAAUUAUUCCAUAUUUAAAACAAGAAUUGGUGGUCAGAACUCAACAAAUGGUAUAUUUGUAUGCCAAAAUUAUGUAUAAGAAAUGUGCUUAUCAAGUUCCCCCACACCUAAAUCUUUACUUGUCCUCAAGUAAAGGCAUAUGACAAGGGCAAGAUGGUGAAUAGUGACCUGACUAGAGAACGCCAAGUGAAGUAGAUCUCCAAACUAUGCAUGCUUUGGACUUAGUUAGUGAGAAUCAAUGGUUAAAAGUGUUACAAAGCAGUAGGAUACUAGUAGACUCAAUCAUUUUAAAAUUCUACAAUGGUAAAAGAAGAUCAACAAGUUCAAAUGAUGAUUGUGCCAAAUGGUUCCUAAAGAGAGCAUGAUCCCAAGAACAAAGCUUGUGAUCAAAUCACUUAUUUACAGAAAUAAAGCAAUGAUAUUAUUAUUACUAGCAAAAAGGCUCAUGCGUUGCAACGGGAGAAAAAAAUCCUCUCAUAUCUCUAGCUGGGUCAGUUGGACAAACUGUGUGUGGCCGGUUCGCAGGUUACGAGAUCGAACCUGUCAUCGGCAAUUCUAUUUUGUGCCAGCUCUCGGACCUGGGCCUCAGUGCGUCGCCAGGUGGGCAUUCUCCGUUGGGCCAAAACGGGUGGCAAGUAACGAAACCAAAUAGCGUACGUGAAAUUAAUUGAAGCGGGACCAAACGAAGCGGGACGAAACCAAGAAUAUCACCUCCCUUUAAUAGUAAAUUAGUCUCACCAAAGGAACAUACCACCGAUCCCGAGAACAUGGUAUACACCCGGCUCAACUAAUUAUUAGUUUUAGUUUUGUUUGUCUCCCCAAAGGAACAUACCACCGAUCCAGAGAACAUGGUAUACACCUGGUUCGACAAUUACAAUGUUUUUAAUAUAAUUAACUCUUAUCCAAUCCAACCAUAUUUCACAAGCCACCGAUCCAGGGAACAUGACAUGCUACUGUUAGGUAAGAUCAGAUAAUUAUUCAUUAUAAGAUUUUUUUUAAUGAACAACACAUAAGCACAAAAAACAGGAAUCCUCACUUCUCCAUGUCUGGUUCACAUGCUACCGAUCCAGGGAACAUAGCAUGCUAAUCCAUAGUGGUUAGGUGAUUGCUCUAAAUGGGAACACACUUGGCACAAAUUCGGCAUCUAAACAUGGUAAUCUAGGUGUAUCAUAGUAAAUGCAGAAAAUGACAUAGUUUACUAGUGCACUAGGGAUUUGAGCACUCAAAACUAAUAGUUCUCACUAAUUUCAGCAAAGCACGCAUGGUGUAGAUCACUAGUUUACAAGGCAUUCAACAAUCAGUUCGCAUAUUCUCAUCAAGCACCAUAUGUCAAAGGUGAAAUUCAGUGGGACAACAUUUAAGAAAUGGCACAAGCAACCCAAAUAAAAAUUUAAUUCAGCAAGCAUCAAUGGAUGAUGAUUUCAAAAUGGGUCAUGAAACAGCUCACCAGGCUUUGAUGAUGUAGCACUCGCUCGAUCACCUCACCAACUGCAGCUCCUCUCCUUUUGCUUCCUCAUACAUGCUCCAGCUUCACUCUUCCUCAUGUGUGCACAUUGCUUCUCCUCAUCACCAUGCCGUGAAUCCACCAGGAUCCCAUGGGAUGUCAUCUCGAACUUGGUCAGCCCGCAAUGAAUGGUGCACAAGCGUAAACCUGAAAGAACACUCAACAAACAAGCCAAAACAAGUGAUAGGGACAAUGCCCUCCAAGUCAUCAAUAGAGUAUCCUAUCACAUAAGCAUAUCUAUUGAGCAUAUCAUACACAUGUAUCAUCAAUUCACUUGGUGCAUAGGUAAUAUCAACGAUAUGACAUAACUUGUCGAGAAAGCUAAGAUAAUACCUGGGAUGAUCUGAGAGAAGUUUUAGGACUACCUUAGUUGAAGAUACUAUGGAAGGCAUGGUAGUAGAAACUUCCACCAGACUCGUGUCAACAAGUGAAAUAUUAGAGUUUGGCUUCUUGACAUCUAGAUCAACCUCAUCAUAAUCAACAAUGCAGGUUUCCAUCUCAGGCUCAAGUGUUGAGGAAUCAAUGUGGCUAAUGUCAUCAAAGGUGAACUUCUCCAUAUCUGGCUCUAGCAGCACAUGAUCAAUAUCAACUAAAGGUGACUCCUCAAUAUAAAAAACAACUAACUGCAGCUCUGGCUCAUCCAUGGAAGAAUCAUCACAAUGCAAAACUAAAUCUCCAACACUAGUAUCCAUAUGAUCUGAAGUGUGUGUGUCAACUAGGAUGGUGUCAUCAUCAUCAUCAAAGAUAAUCCAUGAAAGCUCAAUCUUGUUACACGGAGAAACUGGUUCCGACUUUUGUGUAAGAGAUUCUUGCUGAGAUGAAGUGAUUUGUUGCAAACAAGCAACUGAAUCAGAGAUGGGCUUCUCAUUGUACCACUGAAGUUGGUGGAAGGCUAUACUCUCAAUCAGCAGAAAAGCAUCAUCAAGUGUCUUGUUUGUAAUAGCUCCACCCGCUGCCAUAUCGAUGUAAGCUCGAGUGUCCGAAGUCAAUCCUCUAUAGAAUAUCUGCAACUCUAACCAUCUCUCGAGCCCGUGGUUAGGACAUCUCCUGAAUAAAACCUUGUAUCUCUCCCAAGCAUCAUACAAGCUCUCGUAUUCACGCUGAAUGAAAUUGAAGAUCUCAUCUCGAAUCACAGACUGCUUGUGUAGUGGGAAAUAUCUAUCCAAGAAAGCUCGUGAUAUCUCAUUCCAACUGUAUGACCUUGAUGGCAAGGAUCGAUACCAAGCAUGAGUAUCAUCACGGAGAGAGAAUGUGAACAACCUGCACAUGAUUGCAUCUUGAGGAACUCCAUGGUACUUGACUGUAUCUGAAUACUCCAUGACUCGGUGUAAGUGCUCAUAGGGAUCCUCAGUAGGCAGUCCUCCAAACUGUUGUUGUUGAACCAAAGCAAUAAGACUAGGUUUCAGCUCGAAGUUCUCUGCCUCAAUAGUUGGCCAAAUCGGUCCUGUGAUAUAGCACUGACUUUUGGGCAUCCAAAGAUCACGAAGCAAUGCCAUCUUAACCGAGUGUAACUAUACCUGCAAUUAGUUCAGAUUUCCUACAAACACUCAUAAACAGUAAACACUGGUCAGAAAGUUAGUAUCCUAAUAAGCCGAAGCAACAAAAAGUAAAAAGGUAAAAGAAGCACAGAAAUCAAUUUGAAUGGAAAUUUAAACAAAAACUAAACUAAGCCUAGUCUAUAGCUUCACACAAUCGUUCGACGCUAGUCCCCGGCAACGGCGCCAAAAUGAUCAAUCGAAAGUAUAGUGGGGUUUUUACGACCAAACUACGGAUGUCGUGUUCUCCACAGGGACUAGGCAAAUCGAUGAUCGUGCUUGGCUAAAGCUAGGUAACACAAUUCAGCUUAUGAAUGCAAACAUAAAACCUAAACUAUCAAUGAUUGUCGCCAAAGAAAAUGCAGAUAAGCAAAGGUAGAUUCAGAUUUUACUUGAUGUAUUUUUUUGGUGUUUUUGUUUUAGUUGAGAAAUAAAAUGCUAACACAAGCAAACAUCAAUGGCUAGGGAAUUAAAAAGACAUGAACAUAUAUAUAACUCGCUAACAUAUAACAGGGGGAAGAAACAUAAUUAUGUGACGAGAGAAAGAAGCUUCACAUCACCAACAUAUAUGUCAAAGGGACAAAGCUAGCACUGAUCACACAUAACAUGCACUAUAUCUUACAAGUACGAUACUGAACAAAUAUCAGGUUGCAAGAUCUUAUCAAAUCUGAAUAUUACAUGUACUACACGUCUCAAAUUUCAGAAAAUUCAGAGAUUAGAGGGAGAAAGAGAGAUAGGAGCAGCAAGAUUGAGGAGAGAGCAUCAACAAAGGGAGGUUGAGAGAGAGAUUCAGCAAAGGGUGUUGGAGAAGGAGAAGCAGCAGGGGGUGUAGCAAUAGAGAAGCAGCAAGGUGGCGCUAGAGAGAAGAAGAGGCGCAAGGAGAGAGGUUGAGAGCAGCAGCGGCGACAG